This 305-nucleotide ribosomal RNA is filed under the name uncultured bacterium. RNAcentral's name for it is "bacterial SSU rRNA". It matches the Rfam family "Bacterial small subunit ribosomal RNA", at positions 334 to 637 of the family's 1533-position model. The record is from RNAcentral.
GGGCCCUACGGGGGGCAGCAGUGAGGAAUAUUGGUCAAUGGCCGCAGGGCUGAACCAGCCAAGUCGCGUGAGGGAUGACGGCCCUACGGGUUGUAAACCUCUUUUGUCGGGGAGCAAAGAGAGUCACGUGUGGCUCAUUGAGAGUACCCGAAGAAAAAGCAUCGGCUAACUCCGUGCCAGCAGCCGCGGUAAUACGGAGGAUGCGAGCGUUAUCCGGAUUUAUUGGGUUUAAAGGGUGCGCAGGCGGAGGUGCAAGUCAGUGGUCAAAUUGAGGGGCUCAACCCCGUACUGCCGUUGAAGCUGCA